CACUGCCUCACUAGCCUUUGCCUACCAUUUGUCGAUGCUGAAUUACUUCGAACAUCUCUCUUUUUUCCUAGUCUAUAUGAAUCCCCUAUUCUUCCUUGUUCCAUGAUUGCCCAACCAUCUUCUAGCUUGUAGUGGAAAACCAUAAUCCAUCUCUUGUCGAGCCUUCCUUGAUGCCUUCCAUGACCAAAUGAUGGAGUUCA
Molecule: long non-coding RNA, 200 nt
Filed under: Elaeis guineensis (African oil palm)
Lineage: Eukaryota; Viridiplantae; Streptophyta; Magnoliopsida; Arecales; Arecaceae
Description: long non-coding RNA (EGUI_LNC029409)
Source: RNAcentral